Molecule: non-coding RNA, 214 nt
Organism: Cinara cedri
Lineage: Eukaryota; Metazoa; Arthropoda; Insecta; Hemiptera; Aphididae
Source: the annotation of a GenBank genome assembly
UAUAAUAUUGUGUAGCUGCAGUGCACGCGAUAUAUAUUAUCGGGUAUGGGGCAACUCAGUAACAGCAGCUUUUGUUUUACGCGAUAUUUCGUUUGAUGUUAAAAGCGAAUUUACGUUGUGCGCUACAAUAUAAUAAUAAUAAUAAUAAAUACGUGCAUACAUACGUGCGCACAUACAGUAUACGAGAUGUUUACGUUAUUUACCUAAACUGCUG